CUCCCCCGGACCUUGUAAAAUUUCUAAUCAAGAGACUCAGUGAGUCAGUCAGCCCACCACGUGACUCCUGCAGAAGAUUCAGCCCAUUGAAGCGAGUGGGAGCUGAGCGGGCCACCACUCAGCCCUACUUCUUCACACCCAGCACCUACCCUGGGGUUACACUACAAGCAGUUUCUGCGAACUCCCUCUGAGGUCGGAAAGAUACACAGCCCUCCCUCCUGGGUACCGCUUAUUCCCUUCCCCACUUCCUUAUUAAUGACAGGCACAUCCCUGGAGCCACCAGCUCAGCUCCGCCUCCCUUCCAGCGCAGCCUCUGAUUGGACCUCUGUCUGGCUCCUCCCACUUCUUCCCCAGACCAGCCUCUGGCAUUAGCUUGCCCUCACCCUCCUUGAAGGUCGGGUGCUCCACUACUGGAGGUAGAAGGGUGGAAUUGCGCUUGUUUUGCCCUACUUCAAAUACUUUUUGGGGGGCUGCGUGAGACUAUGAAGAAAUACUGGGGGAGUAGGCCAUGGGCCUUUCUAGCUUGAGACCCGGGCCUGCAGCUCGGACCCUCUGAGAACCUCAUGAAAGCAUUCCAGGAUGUAAUAAACCCGUCAAGCCUCGGCUAAUUUAUAUGGAAGCAGAUGAUUUCCCAUUUUUUAGAAUGUAAAUGUUUACAUUGUAGCAUUCCCCUGCCCCCGGCAUCCGGGGCCCUGGCACGUCAGUGAUGGAAUCAGCCGCUUCUCCUCGGGGAUCCUUAGAUGGAAGCGUCACGAUGCCAAGAAGCGUCCCGCUUUCAGCCAGCCCGGGUGUGCAAACCCCGCACCAAGGAAGGCCACCAAGCGUUUGCUUAAUGUUACCAAGUUCCACGUGGCUCUUACAGAGGAGAAGUAGCACUUUUAAGGGUAAGCCUCAGAACAGAGGGUGCAAUUCUGACUAUGUAGCUUCCCAAGGUCUCUUUGCUACACUUCUCUCCUCUAAGACAGUCAAUUCCUUACGAGCUCUAAUGUAUUAGCUUUAUAUGGGAGUUUUGUGUUGUAGAAAUAGUGACUAGCAUAGAUGGGUGGGAAACCUUGACAACAAUCCAAGGAAAUUAUGCUUUAGCUCAUAGACCCCCUGAGUGCCCUACUACCCCUCUGUGUGCAGGUCUGCUUGAGGCUAAGAACCCUGCCCUUUAACACUCUGGGUGUCUGUGAACAAGUGCAACUCCUAGAAAAGGGUUCGCCACUUGGUCAUAAGCCCCAGAAACUACAAAGGUCUCCUUGGAUCCCUGUGAGAGCAAAGAGCCACUGCGAUUCGUGCCACUGGUCACCCAGGCACGCCUGGGGUUCUGGUGCCUGCUCCAUUAGACAAGCGCAUGUUCUGUUCAAUAGGAGCCAUAUAUGCUACCUGGACCUUUAGCUUCCUCACUGGCCAAGUGAGGAAGUAUGUCUGACCCUCCCCACCUCUAACAAAUAGUGAGGGAGAAGUAAAAGCCCUUCCCCCACCCAGGAGUGGGAAAAGAUACAGCACCUUGGAACCCUGGUCCUUCGGUUACUACCAUGCCGGACUGUGUGUCCUUGGGUAAGUGACUCACCUCUCUGUGCUCCGUGUUCUUUAAGAUGACGAGAUACUAAACUAUAGUAGCAAUCUCCUAGCUACUAAUAAUUGCCAGGUGCUGAGUUUUUCACUCCCUGGUCUACAGAGCAGUCAGUGAGGGUAUCUGAGACUGGACCAUCUGCCUGGCAAACAAUGCUUGCCGGCUGGCUGGUGGCAGACAGUGCUCAAGGACUGGAGAAGGCGGGUGUGACCCAGGGGCAUUCUUGCACUCAAGAGAUCCUGUGCCUCACCCCGCCCCCCAUCAGAUCAAUGGAUCAACUGUAACUGUGAUGUACCUGACCACCGUUCUCCAUACCUGCUCUCAGAAUCCAUGGCAAAAACAGGGGUCAGCCCCCUCUCCAGCUGAACUAGGUCACCUGAGGACACAGUUUCCAGGGAAAACAUCUGAGUGAGCCUCUCCAGUCCAUCUCAGCCUUGCUGGGGUCUAAAGCUCAUGGCAGCCCGAGACCCCAUAGCCACCAGUGCAGAAGACCAAGCCCACUGUCUCCAUCAACCUGAAGCCUGUCCAGAGCUCAGCAGAGACAAGUCACAUGCCAACUCCUACAGCUGGGUCCCUGUGUCCCCCUCCUCAGGGUGAGUCUCCUGACCCUAACUUCCCAUCGACAGCAGUCUGGAAGCCCAAAUCCUACUCAAUGACCAGCACACAGUAGGUACUUAAGAUCAGCAGAGAAGUAACAAGGAAUCCGCUAGUUCAGCCUCCAAAGCAGAGCCUCCAUGUGUAGGGGCAGAAGAAAGGGACCUCAUUUUUUGUCCUUUGUGCAAAUUAACAAUGAUGGCUCUACAGGGCAAGAGACAUUGCUUAUGACAACUGAGGCUCAACUUCAAGCUCACCCCCCACAAGAGAGCACCUGGACGCCUCUCCGAAGAGCAACAAAUACACUUUGGAGAGUGCCGGGGAUUGCCAGGAGCGCCAACUACAUUUCCAGCCUGACACCCAGCUGCAACAAAGCAGAUUCCUUUCUUCCCUUCUCUCGAAAAGCCUAAUCCAGAUAAGCCGGACCGACAAUGGCUGCCUGGCCACGAAAGACUUCCCUUUCCCGGGUGAUGGGACUCACACCUGGUGACAUCAGCCUGGCACAGUUCUAAGUGUAGGGGUGGCCAAACACCAGCUCCCAAUGCUUCCGCACCCAAAGCCCCAGCUUCAGCCAAGAGCGACUGCCCUUCCCCUUCCCCCCACAUUGCCAGUCUAGGACUAACCUACCCAGCAACAUCAGGACAGCAGGACAAUUCCGAAGGGUAGGUACUAGGUGACGUGGUCAUAUCUUUAGCUACUGGGAAGCCAAAAAAACACUGGCAGGGCUGGCCUUCUGCUAAUGUGGCUGGAUUGUUCCCCAGAGUUUCCCAGAGGAGUGGGUCCUGGGUCUGUUGAUCUAGAACAUUCUUUUCUGUGGUCUGACUCCUGCCAAAUUCUCCCAGGAUGUGACCCCUGCCAUCAGAUGACUGAGAACAGAUGGCAAACCCUGUGACUCUCCUAAGACCCUAACCUCACGUGGACAGGCUGAACUACUUGUCGCCAUCUUGAGAUCACUGCCCAGAGACCCUCUUUUCAUGUCUUCCUCCAGGGAGCUGGCUCUAGUCUGUGUUUGGAGAAAGAGGGGGACAGGCAGCCUGUCAGGAAUACCUUUCCACACAGGUGAAUCUUUCCACACGGUCGCACCAGGAUUCGGGUGACCUCAAAUGCAAACCUUAAAUGGCUCCCAUACCUCAAUAGCCUUCAUCUCUGCGUGUCUGACAUAGGCAGCGUACUUCAGAAACUAUGGCUCCAAAGGCAAGCUAAGAGGGACAGAGAUCCCAGGUGGGCAGGGACGGGAGCCGGUGUCAGUCGUCAAGAGCACCAUUCUGCCAUCAGACCCACAGCUUCCACCCCGCCACCACCAACUGCUGUACUGACCGCUGUUGCUGCAAAAGCACCACAAGUCCCUGGGACCCAAGGUACUGACCCUGAAGUGACGCCUGAGUGACAGUAGCUCCUUGUCCAAGCCCCUUGACUGCUACGUUAAGGUAUGUGGUCAGUGGAGGAAAGAAGAAAGAUGCUUCCCCAGGGCAGGGGAGUAAAUAGCCAAAGGCCAUGUUGUCCAUGAGGUACAGUCUGCCCGAGCCAGCAGACUUGAAUGGAGAUUGAAUUUGGAGAACACGGCAGGAAGCAGGGGUCUGUGACUAUCGGGGUGAUUGCCGCUGUACUUUGCUUUGUCUUUAGCCAUGGAAGCUUCUGGAUAGAAAAACCAAACCCAGAAUUGUCACCGAGAGACAGAGUUAGCUGAGGCAACUGUAACAGUAAAGACAGAAGCGUUGGAAGAGUAUAGAGUGGUCAGGCAGAAGGCUCGAGGGGCAGGCCAAAGCUGCCCAUGGUUGAGGGAUGAGAUGGAGGGGAAGGGAGUGGUCUGGAGAGAAGAGACGGACCUUAACGAGGCUCGCGGCGGCAGGGGAGCAGGUCCAAGCACCAGACUGGGAUGCCCGGGAGAUUCCUAUCUCAGAGCACUUCAGCCUAGGAAGCUAUGGACCACAAGGAUGUCUAGAGCUCCCUACUCAGCAUGGAGUAUGUUUCACAGCAGAUAUUCUUCUACAGGUGCCAAGGUCAGGAGAAGACUGAGAGACACUGUGACAUGUCUCUUCCUCCUCCAAAUGCCUACCAGACCAAGCAUGGACAAGUGCACACCACACACACCUACC
Molecule: small RNA, 4248 nt
Filed under: Rattus norvegicus (Norway rat)
Lineage: Eukaryota; Metazoa; Chordata; Mammalia; Rodentia; Muridae
Description: uncharacterized LOC103694034
Source: RNAcentral